GUAUUCCUACGGGACGCAGCAGUGGGGAAUAUUGCACAAUGGGCGAAAGCCUGAUGCAGCAACGCCGCGUGAAGGAAGACGGUUUUCGGAUUGUAAACUUCUAUCAAUAGGGAAGAAAGAAAUGACGGUACCUAAAUAAGAAGCCCCGGCUAACUACGUGCCAGCAGCCGCGGUAAUACGUAGGUGGCAAGCGUUGUCCGGAAUUACUGGGUGUAAAGGGAGCGUAGGCGGGAAAGGAAGUUGAAUGUUUAAGGAACGGGCUCAACCUGGACAAGCGUUCCAAACUGUUUUUCUUGAGUGGAGUA
RNAcentral lists this ribosomal RNA (305 nucleotides) under uncultured bacterium. Its description in RNAcentral is "bacterial SSU rRNA". It matches the Rfam family "Bacterial small subunit ribosomal RNA", at positions 333 to 653 of the family's 1533-position model. The record is from RNAcentral.